This 212-nucleotide long non-coding RNA is filed under the name Erythranthe guttata (spotted monkey flower). RNAcentral describes it as "long non-coding RNA (EGUT_LNC001570)". The record is from RNAcentral. Lineage: Eukaryota; Viridiplantae; Streptophyta; Magnoliopsida; Lamiales; Phrymaceae.
UUGAAUUUAAUGGAUUUGAUUGGAUGUGUCUUUUUAAGGUGAUAGGCGUCAUUGUAGUUGUUUGUGCGUUAGCUCUGCUGAUCAUAUUGGUCUUUACAAGGACUAGAAAGAAGGAAGAUCCAAUGAAAAUAAGUGAAGAAGAUUGCAUACGCCACAACCCUGUAAGGAUUUGCAUACGCAUUGGGGCGGAUGAGUAUGACGAGAAGGUGGUC